This 772-nucleotide ribosomal RNA is filed under the name Chloroflexi bacterium enrichment culture clone B13-B-19. RNAcentral's name for it is "bacterial SSU rRNA". It matches the Rfam family "Bacterial small subunit ribosomal RNA", at positions 28 to 796 of the family's 1533-position model. Lineage: Bacteria; Bacillati; Chloroflexota. The record is from RNAcentral.
GAUAAACGUUUGCGGCGUGCCUGAUGCAUGCAAGUCGAACGCCCCAAUUUUUCGCAAGAUUGAUUGGGGAGUGGCGAACGGCUGAGUAACACGUAAGUAACCUGUCCCUAAGUGGGGGAUAACUUGCCGAAAGGCAGGCUAAUACCGCAUGUGCUGGUAAGCGACAGCUUAUCAGUAAAGCUUUUGCGCUUGAGGAGGGGCUUGCGUCUGAUUAGCUAGUUGGUAGGGUAAUGGCCUACCAAGGCGAUGAUCAGUAGCUGGUCUGAGAGGACGACCAGCCAGACGGGGACUGAGAUACGGCCCUGACUCCUACGGGAGGCAGCAGCAAGGAAUUUUGCGCAAUGGGCGAAAGCCUGACGCAGCGACGCCGCGUGGGGGAUGACGGCCUUCGGGUUGUAAACCCCUUUUCUAGAGGAAGAAAUCUGACGGUACUCUAGGAAUAAGUCUUGGCUAACUACGUGCCAGCAGCCGCGGUAAUACGUAGAAGGCGAACGUUAUCCGGAUUUACUGGGCGUAAAGCGGGUGUAGACGGUUUUUUAAGUCAGUUGUGAAAUCUCCUAACUCAAUUGGGAGACUGCAAUUGAUACUGGAGAACUUGAGGGCAUCAGAAGAAAGCAGAAUUCACGGUGUAGCGGUGAAAUGCGUAGAUAUCGUGAGGAAUACCAGUGGCGCAAGCGGCUUUCUAGGAUGCUCCUGACGUUGAGGCCCGAAAGUGUGGGGAGCGAAACGAUAAACGUUUGCGGCGUGCCUGAUGCAUGCAAGUCGAACGCCC